UGUUUGAAUUCCGGCUCAGGACGAACGCUGGCGGCGUGCUUAACACAUGCAAGUCGAACGAUGAAGCCCUUCGGGGUGGAUUAGUGGCGAACGGGUGAGUAACACGUGGGCAAUCUGCCCUUCACUCUGGGACAAGCCCUGGAAACGGGGUCUAAUACCGGAUAACACUCUGUCCCGCAUGGGACGGGGUUGAAAGCUCCGGCGGUGAAGGAUGAGCCCGCGGCCUAUCAGCUUGUUGGUGGGGUAAUGGCCUACCAAGGCGACGACGGGUAGCCGGCCUGAGAGGGCGACCGGCCACACUGGGACUGAGACACGGCCCAGACUCCUACGGGAGGCAGCAGUGGGGAAUAUUGCACAAUGGGCGAAAGCCUGAUGCAGCGACGCCGCGUGAGGGAUGACGGCCUUCGGGUUGUAAACCUCUUUCAGCAGGGAAGAAGCGAAAGUGACGGUACCUGCAGAAGAAGCGCCGGCUAACUACGUGCCAGCAGCCGCGGUAAUACGUAGGGCGCAAGCGUUGUCCGGAAUUAUUGGGCGUAAAGAGCUCGUAGGCGGCUUGUCACGUCGGAUGUGAAAGCCCGGGGCUUAACCCCGGGUCUGCAUUCGAUACGGGCUAGCUAGAGUGUGUAGGGAGGUUCAGUCC
RNAcentral lists this ribosomal RNA (640 nucleotides) under Actinomycetales bacterium A321. RNAcentral's name for it is "bacterial SSU rRNA". It matches the Rfam family "Bacterial small subunit ribosomal RNA", at positions 10 to 669 of the family's 1533-position model. Lineage: Bacteria; Bacillati; Actinomycetota; Actinomycetes; Actinomycetales. The record is from RNAcentral.